UUUAUUUUUUAUUUUUUAUUUUUGUUGAAUUUGAUAAUAAUAAUCAUAGGAGGAACAAUAAUUAUAAGAAUAAUAAGAAUAUGGGGUGUUUUCCCUGCACUGGAAAAUCAAGCAAGCGAUCAGAGAGAAGCAACAAUAAUAGCAUUAAACACAAUGAUCAAACACAACCCACUUCAGUGUGGAACCCUUUUCUUCAUCUUUGAAAAAUUGAUCAUAAUCGAAUUCUCGGUGGGAUUUUCUCUUUCCCCUGUUAAUUCCAGUUGUUUUGUGUAAUCAAAUUUGGUAUUGAUUGUCAGCUGAAUGAUUGGGAAAUGUUAAUUUCGAUUCUUGCUGAAAUGGGUUGAAAUGAUCAAUAGCUCAAAUUUUAAUCUCUCUCUCUUUCUCAACAUUGUCUGUUUCAUCUGUUUUCUUGGUUGUGGGUUUACGUUGCUGGUGAUGGUGGUGUUGUAUUGACCCAUCGCCCAAAACCCUUCUUUGGGUGUUCAAUAUUUUGUCCUUAGCGUGUUCUUUGUUUGCUUUCAAACUUGAUGGCUUGGGCAUUUUCUAUAAUAUUCUUAAAUAUAAAUCGUUAUUAAACUUUUUUUUUUGGUUUGGGUUUAUAUGGUACUUGUUAUCUUAUCAUGCGUUUUAACUUUUUUUUUUUCCUUUCUGGUUCUACAGGAUCAUUGAAAGUAAAGCCAUUAGCAAAUGUAAAGAAAGAGGAGACUUCUAAUGAUGAUCAGUUAUCUUUGGAUGUAAAGAAUUUAGAUUUAAUGGAUGAGGUUUCUAACAAUGCAAGAAACAAUGGGAAGCUUGCCCAAACAUUUAUCUUUGAGGAGCUUGCUGCCGCAACAGGCAAUUUCCGGUCAGAUUGUUGCUUGGGUGAAGGAGGUUUCGGCAAAGUUUACAAGGGGUAUUUGGAUAAAAUCAACCAGGUUGUUGCUAUUAAGCAACUUGAUCGAAAUGGCCUUCAAGGGACUAGGGAGUUUGUAAUUGAAGUAUUGACAUUAAGUCUAGCAGAUCAUCCCAAUCUUGUCAAGUUGAUUGGAUACUGUGCUGAGGGGGAUCAGAGGCUACUGGUGUAUGAGUACAUGCCAUUAGGAUCCCUAGAAAACCAUUUGCAUGGUAUGUAAGUCACCUUACCAUCUCAUCCUUGUGUUGAUUGCUCAUUUCUUACCUUACCAUUUUCUAUUUUAUUUUCUUUUAAUAUUUUUCCUUUUGCAGAUCUUCCACCUAAUAGGCAACCACUUGAUUGGAACACAAGAAUGAAAAUAGCUGCUGGUGCAGCAAAGGGUUUAGAAUACUUACAUGACAAAAUGAAGCCUCCUGUUAUAUAUCGUGAUCUGAAAUGCUCCAAUAUUUUGAUUGGUGAGGACUAUCAUCCAAAGCUGUCUGAUUUUGGCCUGGCCAAAGUGGGACCCAGUGGGGAUAAAACUCAUGUUUCUACAAGGGUUAUGGGCACAUAUGGGUAUUGUGCGCCAGACUAUGCAAUGACAGGUCAACUGACAUUUAAAUCAGAUGUUUAUAGCUUUGGAGUGGUUCUUUUGGAGCUCAUCACAGGCAGGAAAGCAAUUGAUCAAACAAGGGAUCGUAAUGAGCAGAAUCUUGUUGCUUGGGCACGACCUAUGUUCAAAGACCGGAGAAACUUUUCACGCAUGGUUGACCCUUUACUUAAAGGUCAAUAUCCUGUGAGAGGAUUGUACCAAGCUCUCGCCAUUGCUGCAAUGUGUGUUCAGGAGCAGCCUAAUAUGCGGCCUGCUGUGUCGGAUGUGGUUAUGGCUCUAAAUUAUCUGGCUUCUCAAAAAUAUGAUCCCCAAAUUGAUCCAGUCGAAGGCUCCCAUCAGACCUCAUCACGUCCUGGACUGAAGAAAGAUAAUGACAGAAGUGUAGGCAAUAUUUCUCCAUAGUCUAAUAUGGAAGGCCAAAUAAAUGGUUGAUAGCUUUUUGUCGUGUUUAUAUAAAAGGGUGCCUGGUGUCAAUUUUUGUAAAAUGGAGAUAUCUGGCAGUAGUUCCAUCCUUGGACUUCUCUGACAGAAAAUUUCUGCCCUUGCUUCUUCUCUUCUGUUGUACAUGUGAGCUGGGAUUCUUGUAUGUAAGAUGCUGUCUCUGUAGGAACCAUUUCCUUAAUUCAAUAGACUAGCCUUGAUUAUUUUUCAUAGUAACAAGUUCCCCUCUCUGGUUCUUGCUUUUUCUCCCAUCUUUU
This 2182-nucleotide unclassified non-coding RNA is filed under the name Hevea brasiliensis (rubber tree). Lineage: Eukaryota; Viridiplantae; Streptophyta; Magnoliopsida; Malpighiales; Euphorbiaceae. The record is from RNAcentral.